Non-coding RNA from Vicugna pacos (alpaca), 1931 nucleotides. The record is from RefSeq and is a predicted model, not a curated record. NCBI's taxonomy places the organism in Eukaryota, Metazoa, Chordata, Mammalia, Artiodactyla, Camelidae.
AGCAGGAAGGAUGGAGUUGAAAGCAAAGCCUGGAGGUCUCUUUUGUCAGGAAGAGAAUCCUUUCCAGGAGCCCUGGAAUCUCAUUGGCCAGAAUCAGAUCACAUGCUCACCCCUGGACCAAUCAAAGGAAAGCAAGAUGCCUGCUGUACACCCACACACUUAGCCAGCAAGCUGAGAAGAGCUGCGGCAAGAAGUAUUCCCUCUGGGACCAGUAGUCGCAGGAGCAUCCUCCCGGAAGUGAAGCGCUGGUCCAGCCCAGUUCCCCGCUCCUCUGGUCCAGCCUCACAGCUGCCUCAGGCUGAAGUCCAAGAGGAGGGGGGCUUCGAGAGAUGGUGCAGGGAAGGGCCAGGAAGAGCUGCCCCCUGGGAGAGCGAGGCCCUGUGGGGGACUUCCUGGAGGCCUGGAGGGGGCCACCAGACACAGCCAGCUGAGAGACAAGAAGAUGGGAGGGGACUCAGGGCUCACUUUUUGCUCCUGUCUUAAAGGGCUUGGACCAGCAGCUCCUGUGAUGUAAACUGUGUGACUGAGGUGUUAAAACUCAAGGAUUAGCCCAAGAAAACUGAAGGAACAAGGGAAGGGUUCUGGCCUUGAAGAAAACGUGAGGCAAUGACUGAAAUGUUAUGGUGUACCCCAGAAAUUGACACGACAUUGUAAACUGACUCUACUUCAAUUUUUUGAAAAUGGAAAAAGUAAAAAUAGAAUUAGAACGAAAGAGAACAUGAGAUGAGAGAGAAAGGCUAGACUUGAGGUUUCUCAAACUUGGCUUCAGGUUGGAAUCACUGGUGGGGGCUUUAAAAAGACUGAUGUCCCAGCCCCACCCCGAGGGACCGAUUUAAUUGGCCUGGGGUAGGUUCAGGGCAUCCAAUUUUUAAAAGCUCCCCAGUGGGGUUCUAAUAUGCAGCCAGUUGAGACCAACUGGGCUAGACCGAGGACAGAAAAGGAAAUCUGACCUCCCUGGGUCUCCCAUGGCUCAGCCACGGGAGGGGCAAGGCCCUUGGGCCUGACCUCCCCUGGGGUCAUGUGGGAGCCUGCGGUUGUACAUCUGGCGGCUGAGUGGUGCUUUGGGACCGAACACCAGCCCUAGUUAGACAGUGGACAGUGGGGUGCUGCCGGGGAAGACUCGGGUUCACUAGUCCACUGUGUGCCAGGCCAGCUACUUCCUUGCCUUCCCUUUCCUCAUAGAACCUCCAGCUCGAAAACAUUCCCUGAAUCUCAACUUUCAUUAAAAUAGCCCAGUCACUUCUAGUCGACAGACUUUCCCCCCAUGAAUUAUUCAAACUGGGGGGUUGAAUGUUGAAAAUGACAUGUUCGAGUUGUCCUCAUUAAGAAGCUUUUAGCUGUGAGUCUCCUGCCUCCACUGUGUUUACAGAGCCUGAUCCCUGCAGGGCUGGUGGGGACGGACGCAGUCAAUCAUUGACAAAGUCACUAAGGAAUGCCACGUGGAAGUAAAGUCAGUGAUAAACACGCACAGAAUAAACAGAGGUGGUGUAACAGAGGGAGCCCUCAGGGACAGCCCUGGGCACUCAGAAGCGUCCCCAGCCUUCAGCAAGCCCCCCAGCCCCCUGGGCCCCGUUUCCAUCACGCUCACGAUCACCUAUUUCACUCCAGCACCGGAGAAGGGGGAUUAAACAGAUGAUCUCUCACCCCUGAGGAACCCCACUCUAGGGGAUUGAGGCAGACACAGAAACAGCCCACGAUGAGACCAUCUGAAUAAGAGGCAGAAUGUGCCACAGAUGUUGACUUCUGGCCUUCUCCUUGACUCUUAACCACAAAACAGAAGAUUCAGAACAAGCAGAAGGUAGGACUGAGUGACGGUGCCCUUCGGAGGGGCCUCGAGUGUCUGCCAGGCCACCACAACAUCAUCACCGACGUCGCCAGUUAUGUUCAGACAGCACAGGGCUUCAUCAUGACCGCAUCUAGAGAUGGGAUUG